This 83-nucleotide small RNA is filed under the name Marmota monax (woodchuck). The record is from RNAcentral. Lineage: Eukaryota; Metazoa; Chordata; Mammalia; Rodentia; Sciuridae.
GCCAGGCGGGGUGGCCCAUGCCUGUAAUCCCAGAAGCUUGGGAGGCUGAGGCAGGAGGAUCACAAGUUCAAAGCCAGCCUCAG